This is a long non-coding RNA of Xiphophorus couchianus (Monterrey platyfish), 2757 nucleotides long. RefSeq lists it as uncharacterized. Lineage: Eukaryota; Metazoa; Chordata; Actinopteri; Cyprinodontiformes; Poeciliidae. The record is from RefSeq and is a predicted model, not a curated record. The transcript has 2 exons.
GAGGCCCAAUUUCAUGGCAUCAAAUUACAAAGUAAAAUUUCUCUUAAGUCAUAUUUGAUACAUAUAGCAUUUUUAACAAUGGAAGUUAGAAUUACUUGAUGUGCUUAGAAAACAAAAAAUACUGCCCCUUAAAAAUCAAUUGAGAGGUUUGAAACCUCAGAGGGAAUCCACAUGAGGUGAUGUCAGAUCACACUGGGUCUGAUCAGAUGACUUCUCAGACCCGGCAGGCCAUCUCGCAUAUCAGUAGCGCGACCGCAUGACAACUUCAGAAAUCAUGGCAAGGCAAUGCACACUAGGAGCAUGAGAUUCUGCCGAGGUGGAAGGCUUUUUGAUCUGGAGCUCUCACGGCAACAAGCUCCGCCCACAAAUGCAUAUUUCUCACAAAUGUGCCGCAGUUUAAGAGGAAACAGACAGACUUAGAAAGUGUUUACUGCCAAAAAGCAUUGUUGCAACAAUGGCAACAGCCAUUAAAAAAAAAAAAUCGAUCGACCAAAAUAACUUUCCUUACACACUCUCUGCUGAGUGCAAACUGGGCAACAUCUCUUCUCUCGCAGCAGUCGGCUCGUCCUGGCACGACGACGGGAGGGCUUAGUCAAAGUAUUAAUGGUUAUAAUUCAUUUGGUUGUGACAGCUGAGCCCACUGUAAGCAUCCUGGCUCAGCUGGUGCACAUCAAAGUGGCCAAGCCAUUAAUAAUGCUAUUAGUAACACCGGAGAAAGUCAAAUAUUCCUAAUAGCCUUCUCAGGAUGCUUCCUGCUGGGCUAUAUUCAGACACCUGCGGGGAGAGUGGAGUGUGCUUGUUAAAGCCAUUGCAGAUAAGCCGUUUCAAUAGAAAGUGUGUCCGUUUGCGUCGGCUGAUGACAAAAAUAUUUGUUUCUGAGGGCUUUACGCAUGAAAAUAAUAUGUACUGUAUUUGAUAGUACAGGAGCGUUGUGAGGAACGCAUAAAAUCACAAUUUUUUCCCACUCUGUGAAUAUGUCUUAAGUCAUUGUUUAAAAUUGGGUUUUAUUCAUUUAGAAUACUGAUCAUUUAUUCUUUGAUAUUCCAGCGAUUGCGAAAUGAAUUGCGUCGUUGCUUCAUUUGGGAUUUUGGUAGAUAAAACCGUCUUCUAGAGAUUUUUACACCCUCCAAAUUCACCAUUUACUUUGUGCAGGCAGAGCAUUUAUGAACAUUUCACUUUGUGUGCUGCGCUCUUGAACAAAGUAAAGAGUUUGCUUCACGUGCCGGUGAUUCAAAAUGCUAAAAAGAAGAAACAGGAGCUGGAGACCCUCCAGCCCCCAAGAAAAAAAAGACUCAAAAGUGCAUUUAAAACUAAAAUAGGCCACAAUCUUGAAAAGUCAAAAUCUUCACAUAAAUCUGACGUCACAAUUGCAAACUAACGCAGGCCUCCUGGCCUUUUAACAUAUCAGAAUUAUCGAGCCUUCUAUUGCUAUCUCCUCUGCAACUAAACACAAGGCAUGAAAAAACAAAAAACAGCCACUCCCUCAAAACUGCUUUUGCAAGCCGGCACUCAGAGAAAGAAUGCACAGUGUGAUUUAUGUCACAGCAGUACAUAAAACUGACAUCUGCACUUCCCUGCACCGCUGGGUUCCCAUGAGGUUAGCAAGAGCCGCAUUGCAAAACUGAAGAAAUUCUUCAGCUUUCUCACCGAGGGUUGGGAAAAUGGAUCCAGCUUGGUUUUGAGGAAAGCACAAAGACAUUAGGGCGGUAUUGGAUGUCUGACUGUCAAUACUCUGCGAGAUAACAAAUAAAACCGUUCACCGAAAGAUCAAACCGUUUCCUGAACUGUAAGCUGAACCUGGUGAGCAUUGAUUUGGCGACUUGUAGGUGAAGGGACCAUGUGAAGGUUGAGUUGAAAAUGGACCGACUAAUACAGAAGCAUCAGCAAAAAUGCUGACUGCAGGCUGAUGCAGAGAGGCGCACAGUAAAACUGCGAGUUUGAAUUGAGAUAAGGAACCCAGAGGGUGCAACGCAAAUGAACGUGUAGCACGUCGUGCAGCCUCCCAGGUCUUCAUUCUUCUUCCCUUCGCGCUCCUCCAUCUCGUACAUUUCAGCUCGCUAAGCCUCUUCACCGUCUCAGACGGCACCAAAGAGGACGUCUGCGGCGCGCACGGGGAGCUAUUUCAGAUGUUCUUUUGACUCCAAGCAUCAAACAAAUCCACUCUGCCUUCAUCAGGACGCAGUGGUGAGGCAUUCAAGCCUCCAUUUGUGUGGAAGAGAGUGGCUGCGUCGCAGGGAAGGAGCGAUUUCAACAGAGCUGCAAGCGGAAACCGACUCGCCUGUGUGUAGACUUCAUUUGACGGGGACGUAAAGGGAAUAAAAAUACAAAAAACAUGUGGGUUUGAUGCCUUUAAGAUCUUUUUUUAAUGACCUGCAGAAGUAUCUCACGGUAACAAAGAGGGAAAUGAAACCCUGAUACUGUCAAUCUAAUUAUCACUACAUGCAAAUGUCAGCUGAUCUGUUUCCUUUCUGUGCAAAAAGCUGUGCAUGCUCUCACCUUAUGCGUUGGCAGAUCAAAUUAGCCAGAAAUUAGCAAUCGCAUGAAGUGCAACAAACACCGCAGUCGAUUGUGUCAAGUUCACAUCGUCUCAAAGGUGAUUUGGAGUCCCAGAUUUAGAACCAGAGGUGAUUUUGACACUCCAGCCUAUCAAAUAAAUCCCCCUUCAAAAUCUUUUUUUUAUUUUUUCAAUUCGAAACAAUAUGUAGCUACAAAAAAAUAAAGGUUCAGACCCCCAAAUUUCAGAAGCAAUGUGGAUGA